Molecule: long non-coding RNA, 2296 nt
Organism: Nelumbo nucifera (sacred lotus)
Lineage: Eukaryota; Viridiplantae; Streptophyta; Magnoliopsida; Proteales; Nelumbonaceae
Source: RefSeq, a predicted model, not a curated record
UUCACCAAACAUAGCUUACAAGUAUUUGUUGGAAUGCACAAGUUUGUAAAUUUUGUGUCUUCACGUCUUGCUUACAAGUUACAACACUUGGCAAUCAAUGCAUUUUAUGAGUUUUCUCCAGGUAUGCGCUGAACUUGGCAUUGACAGACAAGGGUUUUUUCUCUGUACUUCUCCCCACUCACAGCUUGAAAGAUGAAGCCGCUCAGUUGGAAAGUUACUAAUUUUAUACGUGCCCCUUCUCAUCUUGAAGGGUCUUAUUUGCAGUUCAUGGUGCUAUGACACUAGGAUAUGUCUCUGGACUCUUGAGCUAGCCACAGACUGCAGGUGUGUAGGAGUGAUUUGACAUUGUGAAGGACUAUUCUCCGAAAGUUCAAGGAAUGGUGAGCUGAACAGAGGGGACGGAAGGAGUUCGCCGAACCCCCAGAGGGGCUGCCUACAUACCCUCCGACAAGGGGUCAAAUCACUGUAGUUUGUUGGUUCUAGAAUUCUGACAGGAGGGAGAUGACAUUGUAAAAGGGAGGUCGAGGAGGUUGAGAGAGGUUACAAAAUGGGUUUCAGAUCUCGGAUCUAAGUUUUGAGAGAGAGUCUCUCUCAAGCAGGAAAGGAAGCUCACAUGGUUUGGGGGUAUGAACACGUUGUGGAUCCUCUUGGGGAACCUCUAUUUAUAGAUUUCCUUGGAGGUUUCCCUUUUUGGAAAGUUCUUUUUGAAUUUGUUAAGAAGUUGUUUGAUUUGUGUCACUUGGAUUAGUUGGAAUCUUGUCAUGUGUCCAUGUGGUUACCUCAGUACUUGGGAUCCCGUCCUUUCCUGACGUAUGUAGGUGAGAACGUAGUGCGUUCGGGCUCUGGCUGGUCUCAUGAUUGAGGAGACGUGUGAUCUUGUUGUCAAGGCUUUGACCAGGUUUUGGAAUGUGGUGAGAUAGCAGAGUUGGUUCUGAGGGAUCUCAUGGCGUUUGCGAUUCAAGUAAGUGAGCGAGACUAUGAUAAGGUGAUUGGCGAUCUUGCAACUGAGCUUGCAAUCUCAGGGGUUGCAUAGGAUGUGAGUUGCUAUGGCCCUUCCAGAGUCUUUAAAGGAGAAUGCAAUGAGAAUGGAGUUAAGUGUUAAUUUAUAUAUAUGUGAUUAUGUGAUGGGUGUGGUGGAAGAGUGCUUUGUCAAAAGGCUAGCUCAGUAAUGCGAUGAGACAAGUGGUUCUCAUUGCAUCCUGACCUAUGAACUGUGAUGGAUUGUGUUCAUGUUAUGCACUAUUGUCCCGUUGCAUUGCUAUCGAUGCAAUGGUUAUCACAUGGUCUUACAAGGUUUUUUCAUGAUCAAUGAAGAGAAGUCCUCUCAUGCUCCAGAAAAACCUUUGAAGGUUUAUCAGCUAUGAGCAAAGCAUUACUUUCUUGGGGUUCCUUCCCCUUCCCUUCUAGUGGAUGGUCUUACCAUGUCUCCUGAAUUACUACACUCUGAAGCAAGGGUUUGCAAAUUUUGAGUAAAAGCUGGAUACCAAAGAUUGUGGUACAGAAGUACAACAAUUAGUUACCAGGUAUGAUAGUUUUCUAUAAUUGCCCAUAUAAGUAAAGGAUAUGCAUCAAACUCAUUGUACAAGUACAAAUUUAUAGUCCAGUCAUCUUGAAAAGGCCGCAACAAGCUGAUGACUUGUUUGAACAUCAUUACAGUCCUAUCACCUUGAAAGCUUCUUCAAAUGUCGAACCACUUUGGGUCCAAAUAGAAAAUAUAUGGAGAACCGAUUCAUGUCUGUUGGAAACUUACGAAUCCUGGACUGUAACUCGAGUUUCUCUAAAUGCUAUUAUGACUCCAGAAAUUGGGUGAGCAUCUGGUGGACAUCUAACAUGUACAACUGUAUCCUUGUGCCUUGUUUGAACAUCAAUCUCCAGGACAAGUGAUUGAUUUUGGUUACCACUCACCAUCUCCCCUUGAGUUUCAACGACUCUGAUUUUCAUUUGGAGAUCAGUAAUGGCAUCUUUUUGUGGGUUUGUUAACAAAAUGGGGCAGGAUAAGUCCCUUGAAAAAGGAGUAUUCUUGUUGCAGGAGAAAUGGAGGUUGCACGGAGCAUCCUGGAGAGGCUGAGACCAGUUGUGUGUUUUAAAGGCUGGGAUUACUUUGUUCUUUAGAAAUCAAGUGAAGAGCAAAGGUUCAUUAAGUGGAUGGGUAUUCUGAGUGGGGGACGGAGACAGAAUCAGUGAAGAUGCACUUCAAUGUGUUGGUGUAUUUUGAAAAGUUGAAGAAUAGUUAAGGGCAAAAAAGUACUUUUGUCUAUUUUAACAGCAUGGUGUUAUGAGAAGCAUAUUUCAGAAA